This 2430-nucleotide long non-coding RNA is filed under the name Hermetia illucens (black soldier fly). Its description in RNAcentral is "uncharacterized LOC119650962". Lineage: Eukaryota; Metazoa; Arthropoda; Insecta; Diptera; Stratiomyidae. The record is from RNAcentral.
AAAAAGCUAGGGCUCCGGCUCAAAUGGUAUCGAAUCUUUUAAAUGUGAAGCUAUUGAUGAUUCAAGAGCAAGUGGACACACGUGUCAUUCUCGUUGGCUGUUCAGUCUGCGGAUCGGACUUUGACCUAAUUGUUUUCACAGAAAGUGAAUGGGGCCUGCUCCAGCAAUGGCGACUGUUGUUAAAAUGGUUUCAAUUUUCGAAAGGUGCUGUAGAUUCAGUGGGGGUGGUAGUGGUGGGAGUUGGUUACGUCCAUGGGAUGUACUAGAGUGAGUGUUCGAGGUAGAAUAGUUAACGCUGUUUCCCAUUGCAAUUCCAAUAUAAUUUUCCCAGUCAGGUGUAAUUCCAGAUAAGUCGCGAUAAUUCAAUCUUCGAAAAUGUCAUUUAGAUUUGAUGAUUUUGAUUUUUCGAAACCUGGGGUAAUAAAAUAUAAAUGAAUUCCACGCAAUUUUGUAAAUUUCAAUGAACGGCUACGAAAAACUCGGAACAAAUUCUGAAAAUCUUCAAACUCUUGUUAAUUGUGAUACGCAAUAUAGAACGAAACGAUAAUCUCUUAAUCUAUUGCUUACAAAGUAGCAAGAUCUUUUGCAACAAUGAAGGCAGAAUAAAGUACAAGCAUAUCAGCUUAACCCUUAACUGUUUACGCACACACCAAUUUAAGUAAUUUCAUUACGUCGCAUGCUGGGUUGGUUGCCGGACGUAUGGCGGUCAGUUUUUGCUAGAAGUAGAAAUGGACCCUCGAUACUAAUUAUGUACUUUUUGUUAAUUUGUAUUAAUAAAUAUUAUUUAUUUGAAAGAAAAAUGUCACGAAAUCUAAAUGUUCAAGCAAUACGUUUUGCUUUUAAGAGUUAUAAUCACCUGGCAGGAGUGAAUUAUGCGACGAGAAAUUUAGUUGCUCGGAAGGUAGUGUAAUUAUUCAUGAAGAUGGCUCCUCAAGUAUAAUUAGCUUUGGAAAAGAGGGAAAUUACCUUACAAUGGGCACUGGGUAUUUUAGAGAUGAGAAUCGUUUCAAAUGCUUUUGUUUUGUGAAAAGCCUUUAAUUUAGAAAAGCUUAUGAAUAAUUUGCUGAUACCAUUUGUUCACGAAAUUCAGAUUGAAUGCUCGGUCAUUUUUCACUGGAUUGAAAAUUUUUUAGAGCACGCGAAACAUGCUGAAACCUCUAAAAGAGAUCAAACACCGAAAAUAGAUCAAAAGCAAUUUCCACAAUGUUCAAAAUGUUGCAAUUAUAUCGUGUAAGAGUCAUUUAGUAAAGACGGUAUUGUGUUCUAAAUAACAAAUAUAAUUUGGUUUUAAGAAUGCUCCAAGGAACUCGCUUUGUUUUCGAUUAUAUUUUGAAGUUACGUUUAGCUGGUAAUUUUUAUUAAUUGUAAAACAAAACCUUAUUAAAAUCGGUUAAAUGUCUGUCACAAGGAUUUUUCUCAGAAACGGCUAUACGGAUUGACACGAAAUUUGAUGGGAAGGUAGGAACAGUUUAAGGAGGUUCCUCAUACAUACAAAAUGGGGGUAUAAAUUUGUUGGAAAGGCGAGGAGUGCGAGGGGUCGAAAGUUAUGAUUUCUUGAACGGACCCAUUCUCAGAAACUACCCCAGUGAAAAAUCUGAAGCAAAUCACGAAGCUGCUUCUAUACGGUGUACAAGCGUCAAAAUACCCUCCUUAUCAAUAUUUGCUCAAAUUAAGUUAAUAAUAGUAUAUUACUGUUUUUGGAAAAUUGAUAAGAAACCUCUCAUAAGUUUAUCCUAAAGCCAUACGAAUUUGCAGUAAUAUGAAGUUUGAUCAAAAUCGAAAUUACAGUUGUCUUUUCCGUGUAAAUUUAUUGAAACCCAAAGUUAGUAAUCUGACAUACUAAACAGAUAGUUCUGCACUCAAAUAUACUCAAACAAGAAACAAACAAAACCUUUCAUAUCUGGAGCGCCGGUUUCCCGACUUAUUUUCAUAUUUCAUUGAUUUCAAAAAAAGAUUAUUUAAGUAUAGAGCAAAAUGAAGCCGAAAAAGGUGUUUACCUUUGUUUUUCUUUACUUUUUCAUUUUUGUUUAAAUGUUUGAACUACAAACUGGAAAAAAAAUAAUUAAAUCAAAUUCAGUUAAUAAUUGAAUUGAGCAACAAUCUUUGUAUUAAACACUAUUGAUUUGCUUUUUUCGAUUGGAUUCAUAUGGGUCCAUCGGUACAAACAAUGUAAUCAUAAUUAUCGACACGAAAUUAAGGGUUAUCGCGAUUAAUGCGCUCCUGAAAAAUUCCCAUAAAGUUCUAUUCGUAUAGUGUAGAUGUACUAUUUAGAGCUGAAUUUCAGGAAUUCUAAAACGUGUAUGACGAUUCAUGAAUACCACAACUAAGUGAGCUCACAUGAAUGGGAGGUCGUAGGGAAACAUUUCAUUUUAGUUUGUUAAUCAAUAUCAAUUACUUGAGACGGACAUAUAUAUGUAUUUAUCUGUAUAU